GAAAAUCAUAGAGGUUGCCAUAGACAAGAGUCACUUGUGGAGUAUUGAUAGAUACGCUGAAGCAAGCAAAAGGGGAUGUGGCCGAAGCGUUGGCACUAUCAUGUCAGUUAGCUGGGCCAUUGGUUAAGAGCCAAUGGACUGUCGCGGAUGCGGGGUGCUAUGACGGAG
Molecule: non-coding RNA, 168 nt
Filed under: Leuconostoc lactis
Lineage: Bacteria; Bacillati; Bacillota; Bacilli; Lactobacillales; Lactobacillaceae
Description: Lysine sequence
Rfam family: Lysine riboswitch aptamer
About the family: Riboswitches are metabolite binding domains within certain messenger RNAs that serve as precision sensors for their corresponding targets. Allosteric rearrangement of mRNA structure is mediated by ligand binding, and this results in modulation of gene expression.
Source: Rfam by way of RNAcentral